This 77-nucleotide transfer RNA is filed under the name Candidatus Kaiserbacteria bacterium RIFCSPLOWO2_01_FULL_52_36. RNAcentral's name for it is "tRNA-Val". It matches the Rfam family "tRNA". From Rfam's summary of the family: Transfer RNA (tRNA) molecules are approximately 80 nucleotides in length. Their secondary structure includes four short double-helical elements and three loops (D, anti-codon, and T loops). Further hydrogen bonds mediate the characteristic L-shaped molecular structure. tRNAs have two regions of fundamental functional importance: the anti-codon, which is responsible for specific mRNA codon recognition, and the 3' end, to which the tRNAs corresponding amino acid is attached (by aminoacyl-tRNA synthetases). tRNAs cope with the degeneracy of the genetic code in two manners: having more than one tRNA (with a specific anti-codon) for a particular amino acid; and 'wobble' base-pairing, i.e. permitting non-standard base-pairing at the 3rd anti-codon position. The record is from RNAcentral. Lineage: Bacteria; Candidatus Kaiseribacteriota.
GCACCCUUAGCUCAGUUGGUUAGAGCAUCUCGUUUACACCGAGAGGGUCGGGGGUUCGAAUCCCUCAGGGUGCACCA